RNAcentral lists this ribosomal RNA (738 nucleotides) under uncultured bacterium. RNAcentral describes it as "bacterial SSU rRNA". It matches the Rfam family "Bacterial small subunit ribosomal RNA", at positions 772 to 1507 of the family's 1533-position model. The record is from RNAcentral.
ACAGGAUUAGAUACCCUGGUAGUCCUUGCCGUAAACGAUGCAUACUUGAUGUGAUCUGGGCUCAACCUGGAUUGUAUCGAAGCUAACGCGGUAAGUAUGCCGCCUGAGGAGUACGCUCGCAAGGGUGAAACUCAAAAGAAUUGACGGGGGCCCGCACAAGCAGUGGAACAUGUGGUUUAAUUCGAUGCAACGCGAAGAACCUUACCCGGGUUUGACAUGCAGGUGAAUAUACCAGCGAUGGUAUAGUCCGAAAGGACAUCUGCACAGGUGCUGCAUGGCUGUCGUCAGCUCGUGCCGUGAGGUGUUGGGUUAAGUCCCGCAACGAGCGCAACCCUUAUUGUUAGUUGCCAACAGGUAAAGCUGGGAACUCUAGCAAGACUGCCUAGGUUAACUAGGAGGAAGGUGAGGAUGACGUCAAGUCCGCAUGGCCUUUAUGUCCGGGGCAACACACGUGUUACAAUGGUAGGUACAAAGGGUCGCCAAACCGCAAGGUGGAGCAAAUCCCACAAAACCUAUCUCAGUUCGGAUUGAAGUCUGCAAUUCGACUUCAUGAAGCUGGAAUUGCUAGUAAUGGCGUGUCAGCUACAGCGCCGUGAAUACGUUCUCGGGCCUUGUACACACCGCCCGUCACAUCAUGGGAGUUGGUUUUACCCGAAAUCGCUGACUCAACCGCAAGGGGAGAAGCGCCUAAGGUAAGGCCGAUGACUGGGAUGAAGUCGUAACAAGGUAACCAAGGGC